AUGUCUUUUGAUAUAAAGGUGACUUCUAAAUGGGCUAGUAUUUUCCUGGAUUAUACCAAUUUAUUUGUCUCAUAUGUCUUAGGCAAAUUAUCAAUAUAUUUCCAAGCACUUUUCUGUCUUUUCUCAAGAGGAAAAAAUGUCACAAACAUGAGUUCAGGUCUCCGUCAUCCUCCAAUAUCUCUCUCCCUGAAUCGGCUUCAUCUUGUAGAUGAGAAAAGUGACUCGGCCAACACGAUAGUGCUAUCGAAGGAUUAUGCAAUGAAGAGCUAUGGUUUGGGCGCUUGGGCUUGGGAACAGAUGUCUGGCAGAGUCAGGGCAGAUGCAUGGCUCACUCAGAAUUGAAGGCUAAUGCCUAUACCACUGUCUGUGAUCAAUGACCAUCGUGGGAAGACGGAGGAAGGUCGGGGGGCAAGCAGGCCUGGGCAUCGGGUGCAAAUGAGAGGCAGUCAGGAAGCCUGGGUGCCAGUCCUGGCCCUGCCAGGGAUGGACUUUCUCAGAGACCCCAGGGGCCGAACUGGCCAUGUCGAGCAAAUAAACCAAACCCUUUGAAAAUGACCUUCA
This 561-nucleotide long non-coding RNA is filed under the name Vulpes vulpes (red fox). RNAcentral's name for it is "lncRNA (ENSVVUG00000008761.1)". The record is from RNAcentral. Lineage: Eukaryota; Metazoa; Chordata; Mammalia; Carnivora; Canidae.